This 355-nucleotide ribosomal RNA is filed under the name uncultured bacterium. Its description in RNAcentral is "bacterial SSU rRNA". It matches the Rfam family "Bacterial small subunit ribosomal RNA", at positions 8 to 350 of the family's 1533-position model. The record is from RNAcentral.
AGAGUUUGAUCAUGGCUCAGGAUGAACGCUAGCUACAGGCUUAACACAUGCAAGUCGAGGGGAAACGACAUCGAAAGCUUGCUUUUGAUGGGCGUCGACCGGCGCACGGGUGAGUAACGCGUAUCCAACCUGCCCACCACUUGGGGAUAACCUUGCGAAAGUAAGACUAAUACCCAAUGACGUCUCUAGAAGACAUCUGAAGGAGAUUAAAGAUUUAUCGGUGAUGGAUGGGGAUGCGUCUGAUUAGCUUGGUUGGCGGGGUAACGGCCCACCAAGGCGACGAUCAGUAGGGGUUCUGAGNGGAAGGUCCCCCACAUUGGAACUGAGACACGGUCCAAACUCCGUACGGGAGGCA